This 453-nucleotide ribosomal RNA is filed under the name uncultured bacterium. Its description in RNAcentral is "bacterial SSU rRNA". It matches the Rfam family "Bacterial small subunit ribosomal RNA", at positions 340 to 786 of the family's 1533-position model. The record is from RNAcentral.
UACGGAAGGCAGCAGUGGGGAAUAUUGCACAAUGGGCGCAAGCCUGAUGCAGCCAUGCCGCGUGUAUGAAGAAGGCCUUCGGGUUGUAAAGUACUUUCAGUCGUGAGGAAGGUGUUAAGGUUAAUAACCUUAGCAAUUGACGUUAGCGACAGAAGAAGCACCGGCUAACUCCGUGCCAGCAGCCGCGGUAAUACGGAGGGUGCGAGCGUUAAUCGGAAUUACUGGGCGUAAAGGGCACGCAGGCGGUUAAUUAAGUUGGAUGUGAAAUCCCCGGGCUUAACCUGGGAAUGGCAUUCAAGACUGGUUAGCUAGAGUCUUGUAGAGGGGGUAGAAUUCCAUGUGUAGCGGUGAAAUGCGUAGAGAUGUGGAGGAAUACCGGUGGCGAAGGCGGCCCCUGGACAAAGACUGACGCUCAUGUGCGAAAGCGUGGGGAGCAAACAGGGAUUAGAUACC